Molecule: ribosomal RNA, 1372 nt
Filed under: uncultured bacterium
Lineage: Bacteria
Description: bacterial SSU rRNA
Rfam family: Bacterial small subunit ribosomal RNA
Source: RNAcentral
GAUGAACGCUGGCGGCGUGCCUAAUACAUGCAAGUCGAGCGAACGGACGAGAAGCUUGCUUCUCUGAUGUUAGCGGCGGACGGGUGAGUAACACGUGGAUAACCUACCUAUAAGACUGGGAUAACUUCGGGAAACCGGAGCUAAUACCGGAUAAUAUUUUGAACCGCAUGGUUCAAAAGUGAAAGACGGUCUUGCUGUCACUUAUAGAUGGAUCCGCGCUGCAUUAGCUAGUUGGUAAGGUAACGGCUUACCAAGGCAACGAUGCAUAGCCGACCUGAGAGGGUGAUCGGCCACACUGGAACUGAGACACGGUCCAGACUCCUACGGGAGGCAGCAGUAGGGAAUCUUCCGCAAUGGGCGAAAGCCUGACGGAGCAACGCCGCGUGAGUGAUGAAGGUCUUCGGAUCGUAAAACUCUGUUAUUAGGGAAGAACAUAUGUGUAAGUAACUGUGCACAUCUUGACGGUACCUAAUCAGAAAGCCACGGCUAACUACGUGCCAGCAGCCGCGGUAAUACGUAGGUGGCAAGCGUUAUCCGGAAUUAUUGGGCGUAAAGCGCGCGUAGGCGGUUUUUUAAGUCUGAUGUGAAAGCCCACGGCUCAACCGUGGAGGGUCAUUGGAAACUGGAAAACUUGAGUGCAGAAGAGGAAAGUGGAAUUCCAUGUGUAGCGGUGAAAUGCGCAGAGAUAUGGAGGAACACCAGUGGCGAAGGCGACUUUCUGGUCUGUAACUGACGCUGAUGUGCGAAAGCGUGGGGAUCAAACAGGAUUAGAUACCCUGGUAGUCCACGCCGUAAACGAUGAGUGCUAAGUGUUAGGGGGUUUCCGCCCCUUAGUGCUGCAGCUAACGCAUUAAGCACUCCGCCUGGGGAGUACGACUGCAAGGUUGAAACUCAAAGGAAUUGACGGGGACCCGCACAAGCGGUGGAGCAUGUGGUUUAAUUCGAAGCAACGCGAAGAACCUUACCAAAUCUUGACAUCCUUUGACAACUCUAGAGAUAGAGCCUUCCCCUUCGGGGGACAAAGUGACAGGUGGUGCAUGGUUGUCGUCAGCUCGUGUCGUGAGAUGUUGGGUUAAGUCCCGCAACGAGCGCAACCCUUAAGCUUAGUUGCCAUCAUUAAGUUGGGCACUCUAAGUUGACUGCCGGUGACAAACCGGAGGAAGGUGGGGAUGACGUCAAAUCAUCAUGCCCCUUAUGAUUUGGGCUACACACGUGCUACAAUGGACAAUACAAAGGGCAGCGAAACCGCGAGGUCAAGCAAAUCCCAUAAAGUUGUUCUCAGUUCGGAUUGUAGUCUGCAACUCGACUACAUGAAGCUGGAAUCGCUAGUAAUCGUAGAUCAGCAUGCUACGGUGAAUACGUUCCCGGGUCU